AGGGAGAAUGAUUCGUUUUUCUUCCACCUUCUUAGGCACCUCAGGAACUUGAGAGACAUUGAUUAUUUUAGACACUUAAAAUGCAAGAACCAAAGAAGAAUAAAGACCAAGUUUCCAGUUUCCAACAUAAGAGAGUAAAUAUCACAAGGCACAUACACAAGAUGAAACACUGACAUUUCACAGAAUCGGUUAAUGAGAAAAGAAUAAAAAGGCACUUUAAAGACAUCAUUUCAUGAUAAAGAUUUAUUUUGAAGGACAAAAAAAGAGAAACCAAGAAGACCCCACACCCAGAAAGACCAAUGUGUAACAGUCGCUCAAGACAGCAACAACAGGACAAGUACGAGGCAAAAAACGAUUAUAAUAGCUGAGUUCACAAGAACAGAAGAAUUUGAAGAUGAGUUUCACAAAUAGCAGAG
Molecule: long non-coding RNA, 416 nt
Organism: Gorilla gorilla gorilla (western lowland gorilla)
Lineage: Eukaryota; Metazoa; Chordata; Mammalia; Primates; Hominidae
Exons: 3
Source: RefSeq, a predicted model, not a curated record